This 1206-nucleotide ribosomal RNA is filed under the name Escherichia coli. RNAcentral's name for it is "partial 23S ribosomal RNA". It matches the Rfam family "Bacterial large subunit ribosomal RNA", at positions 165 to 1409 of the family's 2925-position model. The record is from RNAcentral. Lineage: Bacteria; Pseudomonadati; Pseudomonadota; Gammaproteobacteria; Enterobacterales; Enterobacteriaceae.
CAUAGGUUAAUGAGGCGAACCGGGGGAACUGAAACAUCUAAGUACCCCGAGGAAAAGAAAUCAACCGAGAUUCCCCCAGUAGCGGCGAGCGAACGGGGAGCAGCCCAGAGCCUGAAUCAGUGUGUGUGUUAGUGGAAGCGUCUGGAAAGGCGCGCGAUACAGGGUGACAGCCCCGUACACAAAAAUGCACAUACUGUGAGCUCGAUGAGUAGGGCGGGACACGUGGUAUCCUGUCUGAAUAUGGGGGGACCAUCCUCCAAGGCUAAAUACUCCUGACUGACCGAUAGUGAACCAGUACCGUGAGGGAAAGGCGAAAAGAACCCCGGCGAGGGGAGUGAAAAAGAACCUGAAACCGUGUACGUACAAGCAGUGGGAGCACGCUUAGGCGUGUGACUGCGUACCUUUUGUAUAAUGGGUCAGCGACUUAUAUUCUGUAGCAAGGUUAACCGAAUAGGGGAGCCGAAGGGAAACCGAGUCUUAACUGGGCGUUAAGUUGCAGGGUAUAGACCCGAAACCCGGUGAUCUAGCCAUGGGCAGGUUGAAGGUUGGGUAACACUAACUGGAGGACCGAACCGACUAAUGUUGAAAAAUUAGCGGAUGACUUGUGGCUGGGGGUGAAAGGCCAAUCAAACCGGGAGAUAGCUGGUUCUCCCCGAAAGCUAUUUAGGUAGCGCCUCGUGAAUUCAUCUCCGGGGGUAGAGCACUGUUUCGGCAAGGGGGUCAUCCCGACUUACCAACCCGAUGCAAACUGCGAAUACCGGAGAAUGUUAUCACGGGAGACACACGGCGGGUGCUAACGUCCGUCGUGAAGAGGGAAACAACCCAGACCGCCAGCUAAGGUCCCAAAGUCAUGGUUAAGUGGGAAACGAUGUGGGAAGGCCCAGACAGCCAGGAUGUUGGCUUAGAAGCAGCCAUCAUUUAAAGAAAGCGUAAUAGCUCACUGGUCGAGUCGGCCUGCGCGGAAGAUGUAACGGGGCUAAACCAUGCACCGAAGCUGCGGCAGCGACGCUGAUGCGUUGUUGGGUAGGGGAGCGUUCUGUAAGCCUGUGAAGGUGUGCUGUGAGGCAUGCUGGAGGUAUCAGAAGUGCGAAUGCUGACAUAAGUAACGAUAAAGCGGGUGAAAAGCCCGCUCGCCGGAAGACCAAGGGUUCCUGUCCAACGUUAAUCGGGGCAGGGUGAGUCGACCCCUAAGGCGAGGCCGAAAGG